AAGUAGGAAAACCUGCAAAAUCGGCAGUGUAUCAAAUACUUGUUCUCCCCACUGUAUAUGUUGCAAUGUUUUACAAUCUACAAUGUUGCAUAGUGCCUUGAGAACAAGUGCAUUAUGAAUACAAUGUAUUAUUGUUAUGAUCAGUGUUGCAAUGAUCUAUAAACAAAUAGAACACAGUGAGAUUUGUAUAUCUUUUUUGUUCUCCUGCUCCAGCUCGCUUUAAAUCCCGACUCAUUUCACCCUGUGAUGCUGCAACAGACUGUGAGGUAGCCAGUUUCUCCUUCAGUCAGUUAAUCCAAGUUACCAUUAUGUAGACCAGCGGCAGCUGUCCAGUCACCAGCAGGAGUUCAAUUGACCUGGAAUGCAAAGCAAUGCAGUAACCUGUUUUGGACCAAAAAAACUACAUUCUACUGCCUUUUAGUACAUGUCUGUCAAAAAUGAUUGUCAUAGUGCUGUAUAAUUUGUGACUGAUGUCCACCUGAAUAUGAUGGCUGUUUCCUCCUGGUCUGUUUGAAUCUCUUUCUGUACAUUUUCUUGCUACAUUGUUUAUAACACAUUUACACACAUAUUUUUUGGGACUCAGUAUUCUAUCGUGCUUGUCAGUUAUACAACAAGACUAGAGACUUUCUUCUCCAUAUCGUCAUUUUUUCUUAAACUUUUAUCGCAUGUUUCUUUUUCUUUCUUUUGUCUGUAUACUGUCAUUCAGCUUUUAGCUGCAGAGUUGUACAAGACAGCCUAACUAAUAAAAUAUAUGCCCUGGCGGAUAUUCA
Molecule: long non-coding RNA, 770 nt
Organism: Oncorhynchus kisutch (coho salmon)
Lineage: Eukaryota; Metazoa; Chordata; Actinopteri; Salmoniformes; Salmonidae
Exons: 2
Source: RefSeq, a predicted model, not a curated record